ACGAACGCUGGCGGCGCGCUUAAUACAUGCAAGUCGAACGAGAACCUCGGGGCUUGCCCUGGGGGGACAGUGGCGAACGGGUGCGUAACACGUGAGCAACCUACCCCGGAGACCGGGAUAACACCGGGAAACUGGUGCUAAUACCGGAUGUCGUCAUCGGAUCGCAUGGUCUGAUGAGGAAAUGGAUUCCGCUCCGGGAUGGGCUCGCGGCCUAUCAGCUUGUUGGUGAGGUAACGGCUCACCAAGGCGACGACGGGUAGCUGGUCUGAGAGGACGACCAGCCACACUGGGACUGAGACACGGCCCAGACUCCUACGGGAGGCAGCAGUAGGGAAUCUUGCGCAAUGGGGGAAACCCUGACGCAGCGACGCCGCGUGCGGGAUGAAGGCCUUCGGGUUGUAAACCGCUUUCAGCAGGGACGAAAUUGACGGUACCUGCAGAAGAAGGCCCGGCCAACUACGU
This 462-nucleotide ribosomal RNA is filed under the name uncultured bacterium. RNAcentral's name for it is "bacterial SSU rRNA". It matches the Rfam family "Bacterial small subunit ribosomal RNA", at positions 29 to 506 of the family's 1533-position model. The record is from RNAcentral.